Molecule: ribosomal RNA, 394 nt
Filed under: uncultured Anaeromyxobacter sp.
Lineage: Bacteria; Pseudomonadati; Myxococcota; Myxococcia; Myxococcales; Anaeromyxobacteraceae
Description: bacterial SSU rRNA
Rfam family: Bacterial small subunit ribosomal RNA
Source: RNAcentral
CGAGAAAGCCCGCAAGGGUGAGUAAAGCGGCGCACGGGUGCGUAACACGUGGAUAAUCUGCCCUGGAGUCCGGAACAACUCGCCGAAAGGCGAGCUAAUGCCGGAUGAGACCACGUGGGCUUCGGCCCCUGAGGGAAAAGGUGGCCUCCGUACACAAGCUAUCGCUUCAGGAUGAGUCCGCGGCCCAUCAGCUAGUUGGCGGGGUAAUGGCCCACCAAGGCGACGACGGGUAGCUGGUCUGAGAGGACGAUCAGCCACACUGGAACUGAGACACGGUCCAGACUCCUACGGGAGGCAGCAGUGGGGAAUCUUGCGCAAUGGGCGAAAGCCUGACGCAGCAACGCCGCGUGUGUGAUGAAGGUCUUCGGAUCGUAAAGCACUGUCGCGAGGGACG